Molecule: ribosomal RNA, 253 nt
Filed under: uncultured bacterium
Lineage: Bacteria
Description: partial 16S ribosomal RNA
Rfam family: Bacterial small subunit ribosomal RNA
Source: RNAcentral
UACGUAGGGUGCGAGCGUUAAUCGGAAUUACUGGGCGUGAAGCGUGCGCAGGCGGUUUGUUAAGUCUGAUGUGAAAGCCCCGGGCUCAACCUGGGAAUGGCAUUGGAAACUGGCAAGCUAGAGUGUGGCAGAGGGGGGUGGAAUUCCGCGUGUAGCAGUGAAAUGCGUAGAUAUCGGGAGGAACACCAGUGGCGAAGGCGACUACCUGGCCUGUUCUUGACGCUGAGGCGCGAAAGCUAGGGGAGCAAACGGG